This 627-nucleotide long non-coding RNA is filed under the name Nicotiana tabacum (common tobacco). RNAcentral describes it as "long non-coding RNA (NTAB_LNC004232)". Lineage: Eukaryota; Viridiplantae; Streptophyta; Magnoliopsida; Solanales; Solanaceae. The record is from RNAcentral.
CGCACGACAUGGUCACGUGCUAUAAAUAUCAAUAUUUGAGAUCUGCAUGGCGUGUUCACCUUUAAUAAUUACAAUCCACCCGGCGUGGUCACAUGCUUAAUAUCACAAUCUAGUCGGCAUGGCCACAAGCUCAAUAUCACAAUUAGCAUGGUAUAGACAGGUGCUCAAAAUCACAAUCCGCCCGAUGUAGUCACAUACUUAAUAUAUAUUGGCUUUCACCUUUGGUAAAUAUACACACAAAUUAACUUGAUUAAGCAUAGAAAAAAACUCAAAUACUAUAAUGGCUAAGCAACAAAACCAAAAGUCUGUAGAAAUCCCCUCACAAAAAACUCCAACCCCCACCUAUCAAUAUUGAACUGCAGGCUGUCAAAGCACAAAUGAAGGAACUGGCUAAGGAGGUCAACAGUAUCCGUCACACCAUUCAAGACAAAUUGUACCAUAUUAGGGAAAUGCUGGCAGAUAUAGUAGAGAAUAUUCUUGGUGGUACUGGUCGCCUUUUCCCAGAUCACUCUGAUAUGGGUAGUGAUUAGUAUCUUUUAUGAUAUUUAUGUAAUAUUAUCCUCCACGCUUCUAUCUCGCAUUUUGUUUCUUUAUAUGAAAUAUGGAGGAUUUAGUAGAUUUUAUUUC